RNAcentral lists this ribosomal RNA (485 nucleotides) under uncultured bacterium. Its description in RNAcentral is "partial 16S ribosomal RNA". It matches the Rfam family "Bacterial small subunit ribosomal RNA", at positions 29 to 523 of the family's 1533-position model. The record is from RNAcentral.
AGUGAACGCUGGCGGCGUGCUUAACACAUGCAAGUCGAACGAGAACGGAAUAUAGCUUGCUAUAUUUGUCAGCUAAGUGGCGCACGGGUGAGUAAUGUAUAGAUAACCUGCCCUUAAGAAAGGAAUAACAGUUGGAAACGACUGCUAAUGCCCUAUAUGCCUUUAAUACAUAAGUAUGCAAGGGAAACGCUUUAGUGCUUAAGGAUGGGUCUGUAUGGUAUCAGCUUGUUGGUGAGGUAAUGGCUCACCAAGGCUAUGACGCCUAACUGGUUUGAGAGGAUGAUCAGUCACACUGGAACUGAGACACGGUCCAGACUCCUACGGGAGGCAGCAGUGGGGAAUAUUGCACAAUGGACGAAAGUCUGAUACAGCAACGCCGCGUGGAGGAUGACACAUUUCGGUGCGUAAACUCCUUUUAUAUAGGAAGAUAAUGACGGUACUAUAUGAAUAAGCACCGGCUAACUCCGUGCCAGCCGCCGCGGUAA